GGGGAAUUUUCCUGCAAUGGGCGAAAGCUUGACGGAGCAAUGUCGCGUGGAGGAAGAAGGCUCGUGGGUUGUAAACUCCUUUUGUCAAAUGACGAAGCAUUGACGGUAUUUGACGAAUAAGCAUCGGCUAACUCCGUGCCAGCAGCCGCGGNUAAUACGGAGGAUGCAAGCGUUAUCCGGUAAUGAUUGGGCGUAAAGGGUCUUGAGGUGGCUAGUCAAGUCUACUGUGAAAGAUCGGGGCUUAACCCCGAAGAAGCGGUGGAAACUAACAAGCUUGAGUACGGUAGGGGCGGAGGGAAUUCUCUAUGGAGCGGUGAAAUGCAUAGAUAUAGGGAAGAACACCAACGGCGAAAGCACUCCGCUGGGCCGAUACUGACACUAACAGACGAGAGCUAGGGGAGCGAAUGGGAUUAGAUACCCCAGUAGUC
RNAcentral lists this ribosomal RNA (428 nucleotides) under uncultured cyanobacterium. RNAcentral describes it as "bacterial SSU rRNA". It matches the Rfam family "Bacterial small subunit ribosomal RNA", at positions 356 to 795 of the family's 1533-position model. The record is from RNAcentral. Lineage: Bacteria; Bacillati; Cyanobacteriota.